CCGAGAUUUUGUGUCCAACAGGUGAAUUACAGCAGAAGGUGAUUCACUCAAUCCAACCAGGAGACUGGGUGUGGAUCCAGUCCCUGAGGACAAAAGAACUGGAAGCAGCCACAGUGGGAGGGGCCAUACCAAGUGCUCCUGGUAACAGCCUUUGCGAUAUGUCAGGAGCAUGAGGACGCAGACACCCCGUUAUCCUGGGAGUGCGAUGGCCGCCUUGAUCGACUACAUUCAGCGCAGAGACUAGGAGGGGGUAGCUGCUGUGUCCAGGCCCGCCGCAGCCAGCACCACCCCCGCCAGCACCACCCGGCCCAAGAGCUUCUUGGUCCUGCGAUCUCUGCGUUCCUUUCAAGGCGCGCUCUCGCCCCUGGUGAACUGCAGGCGAAGAUGAAGAAAUAGGGGUGUCUUUCCCUCGACCAGCACUGCCACCAACAGAUCAAUCGGACGCAGAGCUGGUCAAAGCUGCUGCUGACAUAGACACAUGUAUGUUUUUACGUCACUAUUAAUUGACAUAGGAAAUUCGAUACGUUUUGAUAAGUAUUCAGUUAAAGUUUGCUGACAUAUUAAAGUGUGUUAAAUUUGUCGCUAUCGUCAACCCAAGGAAAUGUAUUGGUAAGAGUCAUCUGGGUUUAGAGAAGAGUCACUGCAUGUAUGAACUAUUAACUGAAUCACUGUUAUCUUCAUUUGUAAUAUGUCUGUCCAUUCAUGCUUGCAUUUAUUUUAUUUAUUAAUUCAUUCAUUUAACCUAUUUAUUUCUGUCACUGCAAAAGCCGUAGCCCUACAGGUCCCCCGAUCGCUCCCGCGGCCUCUGCCCCCAACUGACCAAGCCCCGGUUCCUGCCCCGGUUCCUAUAAUUACUCCACAUUGUUAAGAUAUUAAACACUAUACCAAAUUGGACAGCUAGCGUCCCACAUACCCCAGAGAGGUUAACACUAGUAUAUAGAUUCCUAAAAACAGUAGUGCAACACUAAAUCAAUGACGAUAUAAUUUUCAAUUGUCUUUUUUUUGUACAUUUGUGGACAUUUGCGAACAUGUGCAUGGCUCCCGUUGAUGACCUCACAGCAUUAACACAAUUUAGAAAAUAAAUACAAUAGUUCACUCUUAAAAGUAGUGUAACACAUCUCAAAAUAGCCUUAAAACAAUUAUAAUAAAUAUGAGGGAUUUUCGAUGAA
Molecule: non-coding RNA, 1169 nt
Organism: Salmo salar (Atlantic salmon)
Lineage: Eukaryota; Metazoa; Chordata; Actinopteri; Salmoniformes; Salmonidae
Source: RefSeq, a predicted model, not a curated record